Molecule: ribosomal RNA, 1199 nt
Filed under: Campylobacter jejuni
Lineage: Bacteria; Pseudomonadati; Campylobacterota; Epsilonproteobacteria; Campylobacterales; Campylobacteraceae
Description: partial 23S ribosomal RNA
Rfam family: Bacterial large subunit ribosomal RNA
Source: RNAcentral
AGGUAAGCUACUAAGAGCGAAUGGUGGAUGCCUUGACUGGUAAAGGCGAUGAAGGACGUACUAGACUGCGAUAAGCUACGGGGAGCUGUCAAGAAGCUUUGAUCCGUAGAUUUCCGAAUGGGGCAACCCAAUGUAUAGAGAUAUACAUUACCUAUAUAGGAGCGAACGAGGGGAAUUGAAACAUCUUAGUACCCUCAGGAAAAGAAAUCAAUAGAGAUUGCGUCAGUAGCGGCGAGCGAAAGCGCAAGAGGGCAAACCCAGUGCUUGCACUGGGGGUUGUAGGACUGCAAUGUGCAAGAGCUGAGUUUAGCAGAACAUUCUGGAAAGUAUAGCCAUAGAGGGUGAUAGUCCCGUAUGCGAAAAACAAAGCUUAGCUAGCAGUAUCCUGAGUAGGGCGGGACACGAGGAAUCCUGUCUGAAUCCGGGUCGACCACGAUCCAACCCUAAAUACUAAUACCAGAUCGAUAGUGCACAAGUACCGUGAGGGAAAGGUGAAAAGAACUGAGGUGAUCAGAGUGAAAUAGAACCUGAAACCAUUUGCUUACAAUCAUUCAGAGCACUAUGUAGCAAUACAGUGUGAUGGACUGCCUUUUGCAUAAUGAGCCUGCGAGUUGUGGUGUCUGGCAAGGUUAAGCAAACGCGAAGCCGUAGCGAAAGCGAGUCUGAAUAGGGCGCUUAGUCAGAUGCUGCAGACCCGAAACGAAGUGAUCUAUCCAUGAGCAAGUUGAAGCUAGUGUAAGAACUAGUGGAGGACUGAACCCAUAGGCGUUGAAAAGCCCCGGGAUGACUUGUGGAUAGGGGUGAAAGGCCAAUCAAACUUCGUGAUAGCUGGUUCUCUCCGAAAUAUAUUUAGGUAUAGCGUUGUGUCGUAAUAUAAGGGGGUAGAGCACUGAAUGGGCUAGGGCAUACACCAAUGUACCAAACCCUAUCAAACUCCGAAUACCUUAUAUGUAAUCACAGCAGUCAGGCGGCGAGUGAUAAAAUCCGUCGUCAAGAGGGAAACAACCCAGACUACCAGCUAAGGUCCCUAAAUCUUACUUAAGUGGAAAACGAUGUGAAGUUACUUAAACAACCAGGAGGUUGGCUUAGAAGCAGCCAUCCUUUAAAGAAAGCGUAAUAGCUCACUGGUCUAGUGAUUUUGCGCGGAAAAUAUAACGGGGCUAAAGUAAGUACCGAAGCUGUAGACUUGCACACAACUU